Molecule: long non-coding RNA, 229 nt
Organism: Zingiber officinale
Lineage: Eukaryota; Viridiplantae; Streptophyta; Magnoliopsida; Zingiberales; Zingiberaceae
Exons: 4
Source: RefSeq, a predicted model, not a curated record
CCAAGCGAUUUCUGCUCGGGCGAAAGAGGCGGCGGAGCUAAGUUUCCUUUCUCCGGCGCCGGCCAAGGGGUGUUCCCGCAAGAUCCUCACACGUUCGUGGCCAUCUCGUUGAGGGGAGCACGCGGACGCGAGGAAACGCCGGAUUUGGAGCUCACCCGAAACCCUAGCACCUCUCUUUCUCGGUUGUAAGUCCAAGAAAACGAAGAUAAAGAAAAAGGAAAGCUAAUAU